This 296-nucleotide long non-coding RNA is filed under the name Malassezia sympodialis ATCC 42132. RNAcentral describes it as "5' ureB small RNA". It matches the Rfam family "5' ureB small RNA". Lineage: Eukaryota; Fungi; Basidiomycota; Malasseziomycetes; Malasseziales; Malasseziaceae. The record is from Rfam by way of RNAcentral.
CCUCCUCAACCAUAUCCGGCGUGAGGAAAUGCACGUGCGAGUCGAGGCCGCCGGCCGUAAGGAUCAUGUGCUCGCCGGCGAUGGCCUCGGUGCAAGACCCAACGACCAUGUUGGGCGUCACGUACGCCAUCGUGUCGGGGUUGCCCGCCUUGCCAAUGCCGACAAUGUGGCCGUUUUUGAUGCCGAUGUCAGCCUUGACAAUGCCCGUCGAGUCGAGGAUGAGCGCAUUUGUCACGACAGUAUCAAGCACCGUGUCGGCAGGUCGGCCUGAACACUGGCCCAUGCCAUCGCGCAGG